UGGAAUUUAAGGGUAUCAUGACGGAGUAUUUCUGUCGUGUGUCCUUAAGGGGUUGGGGACCUUUGCCUGCUUCUGCCAUCCUCCCACACAUUGCAUUUCUUGUUUUAAUGGGGUUUUUCACUAUUUACAUUUUUAAAGGGGAUUUUCACAGGAUAGUGUCUUUGGUAGACAUGGUAUUUUCAGUCUUAGGUAGACUUCUAUUACUCCACGGGUUGGAGGAUUGCCUUUGGUAGGCAGUAGUAGUUAUUGUGCACAUUUCCUCUUUGGUAAGAGGUUCACCUUUGGCCAGGUGUUAAAAAUAAUUUCAAGCCUUUGGUAGGCUGUGAUGUCCUGUGAUGUACAUUUACAUAUGGG
Molecule: non-coding RNA, 354 nt
Organism: Pelobates cultripes (western spadefoot toad)
Lineage: Eukaryota; Metazoa; Chordata; Amphibia; Anura; Pelobatidae
Source: the annotation of a GenBank genome assembly